AAACGCCGUAUACGCGAACCGUACGUACGGUGUUGUGAGAGGGGCGAAAAUAAUACAUUUAUUUUCCCUCUACUCGAU
RNAcentral lists this non-coding RNA (78 nucleotides) under Cytobacillus oceanisediminis. Lineage: Bacteria; Bacillati; Bacillota; Bacilli; Caryophanales; Bacillaceae. The record is from RNAcentral.